Molecule: transfer RNA, 105 nt
Filed under: Gammaproteobacteria bacterium
Lineage: Bacteria; Pseudomonadati; Pseudomonadota; Gammaproteobacteria
Description: tRNA-Leu
Source: RNAcentral
AGCAGUUAAAUGGUUGUAAUAGUAUUAUAAUGGAAAAUAAUGAUAAACUCAAGACCAAUAUUCAUAAUGCUGGGGUCGGUGGUUCAAGUCCACCCAUAGCUACCA